This 253-nucleotide ribosomal RNA is filed under the name uncultured bacterium. Its description in RNAcentral is "partial 16S ribosomal RNA". It matches the Rfam family "Bacterial small subunit ribosomal RNA", at positions 524 to 776 of the family's 1533-position model. The record is from RNAcentral.
UACGGAGGGUGCGAGCGUUGUCCGGAAUCACUGGGCGUAAAGGGCGCGUAGGCGGCGCGGGAAGUCAUCGGUGAAAGUUCAGGGCUCAACUCUGAAUCGGCCGGUGAUACUCUCGUGCUUGAGCACUGUAGAGGCAGGUGGAAUUCCGGGUGUAGCGGUGGAAUGCGUAGAGAUCCGGAAGAACACCGGUGGCGAAGGCGGCCUGCUGGGCAGUAGCUGACGCUAAUGCGCGACAGCGUGGGGAGCAAACAGG